Molecule: ribosomal RNA, 1512 nt
Filed under: human gut metagenome
Description: bacterial LSU rRNA
Rfam family: Bacterial large subunit ribosomal RNA
Source: RNAcentral
UAAGUGGUAAAGGAUGUGGGAUUGCACAGACAACCAGGAUGUUGGCUUAGAAGCAGCCACUCAUUCAAAGAGUGCGUAAUAGCUCACUGGUCGAGUGAUCCUGCGCCGAAGAUUUCCGGGGCUAAAACUUACUACCGAAGCUACGGCAUCAGUAAUGAUGGGUAGGGGAGCUUCCCAUACGGGUUGAAGCAUGACCGUAAGGACAUGUGGACAGUAUGGGAGUGAGAAUGUUGGCUUGAGUAGCGAGAUGUGGGUGAGAAUCCCACAGGCCGUAAACCCAAGGUUUCCAGGGGAAGGUUCGUCCGCCCUGGGUUAGUCGGGACCUAAGCUGAGGCCGAAAGGCGUAGGUGAUGGACAACAGGUUGAUAUUCCUGUACUACCGAUAACCGUUUGAGAGAAGGGAUGACACAGUAGGAUAAGCUAAGCACACUGUUGGUUAUGUGUGCCCAAGCAUUGAGGCAGUCAAAGUAGGCAAAUCCGCUUUGAUAAUGCUGGGAUGUGAUGGGGAGCGAAAUUUAGUAGCGAAGUAGCUGAUUUCACACUGUCAAGAAAAGUCUCUAUCGAGGUUAAAGGUACCCGUACCGCAAACCGACACAGGUGGGUGAGGAGAGUAUCCUAAGGCCAGCGAGAGAACUGUUGUUAAGGAACUCGGCAAAAUGACCCCGUAACUUAGGGAUAAGGGGUGCCACCAUCAGGUGGCCGCAGAGAAUAGGCCCAAGCGACUGUUUACCAAAAACAUAGGUUUCUGCUAAGUCGCAAGACGAUGUAUAGGAGCUGACGCCUGCCCGGUGCUGGAAGGUUAAGGGGAUCUGUUAGAGCAAUCGAAGCAGUGAACUUAAGCCCCAGUAAACGGCGGCCGUAACUAUAACGGUCCUAAGGUAGCGAAAUUCCUUGUCGGGUAAGUUCCGACCCGCACGAAAGGCGUAACGAUUUGGGCACUGUCUCAACAACAGACUCGGUGAAAUUGUAAUUCCGGUGAAGAUGCCGGAUACCUGCGACAGGACGGAAAGACCCCAUGGAGCUUUACUGUAGCUUGACAUUGGGUCUUGGUACUACAUGUACAGGAUAGGUGGGAGGCUUUGAAACCAGGACGCCAGUUUUGGCGGAGCCAUCCUUGGGAUACCACCCUUGUAGUACUGGGACUCUAACCAUAGGCCAUGAAUCUGGUCUUGGGACACUGUCAGGUGGGCAGUUUGACUGGGGCGGUCGCCUCCCAAAAGGUAACGGAGGCGCUCAAAGGUUCUCUCAGUACGGUCGGAAAUCGUACGUAGAGUGUAAAGGCAAAAGAGAGCUUGAUUGCAAGACAUACAGGUCGAGCAAGGAUGAAAAUCGGACUUAGUGAUCCGGUGGUUCUGCGUGGAAGGGCCAUCGCUCAACGGAUAAAAGCUACCCUGGGGAUAACAGGCUUAUCUCCCCCAAGAGUCCACAUCGACGGGGAGGUUUGGCACCUCGAUGUCGGCUCGUCGCAUCCUGGGGCUGUAGUCGGUCCCAAGGGUUGGGCUGUUCGCCCAU